This is a non-coding RNA of Mycena maculata, 91 nucleotides long. The record is from the annotation of a GenBank genome assembly. Lineage: Eukaryota; Fungi; Basidiomycota; Agaricomycetes; Agaricales; Mycenaceae.
UCGGACAUGGUGCAAUGGAUAGCACAGCUUCGGAUAUCGCCCUGAUGGUCCGGGACGGAAGCAGACCGAGGUUCAAUUCCUCGUGUCCUCC